Molecule: RNA transcript, 2361 nt
Organism: Capra hircus (goat)
Lineage: Eukaryota; Metazoa; Chordata; Mammalia; Artiodactyla; Bovidae
Gene name: cell cycle checkpoint protein RAD1 pseudogene
Exons: 1
Source: RefSeq, a predicted model, not a curated record
UCUCUGUGGUGACGGUGGCCGAGGUGGCCGGCAUAUCUGAAUAGAGUGGCGGGAGCCGCUCCACUUCCUCCGCAGUUUUCUAGGAGCUGCAUCCGGACGCUGCGCAAAGGAGCAUCCCUCGGGGCCGAAUGCGCCGUGGACCAUGCCCCUCCUAACCCAGCGGAUCCCAGACGAGAAUGAUUACUGCUUAGUGGCCAGCCUUGACAACGUCAGGAACCUCUCCACUAUCUUGAAGGCUAUUCAUUUCCGAGAACAUGCCACGUGUUUCGCUACUAAAAAUGGAAUCAAGGUUACAGUGGAAAACGCAAAAUGUGUACAAGCAAAUGCUUUUAUUCAGGCUGGAAUAUUUCAAGAGUUUAGAGUUCGAGAAGAGUCUGUUACUUUUCGAAUUAAUUUAACUGUCCUUUUAGACUGUUUGUCUAUUUUUGGAUCAAGUCCUGUGCCAGGGACUUUUACUGCACUUCGGAUGUGUUACCAAGGUUAUGGUUACCCUCUGAUGCUGUUUCUAGAAGAAGGAGGUGUGGUGACAGUGUGCAAAAUCAAUACUCAGGAGCCUGAGGAGACUCUGGAUUUUGAUUUCUGCAGCACCAAUGUCAUUAAUAAAAUUAUUCUGCAGUCAGAGGGGCUCCGUGAAGCAUUCUCCGAGUUGGAUAUGACGAGUGAGGUCCUGCAGAUCACCAUGUCUCCAGAUAAACCUUAUUUCAGGUUAUCUACUUUUGGGAAUGCAGGAAGCUCCCACCUUGACUAUCCCAAAGAUUCUGAUUUGAUGGAAUCAUUUCACUGCAAUCAGACCCAGGUCAACAGUAUAUGAUUAGAAAUGAAGAUGGACAAAUAUGCUUUGUGGAAUAUUACUGCUGUCCCGAUGAAGAAGUUCCUGACUCUUAGUCUUCAGUAUGGUGGUUCACGCAUUAUUUAUGUACACAUGCGUAGUAGGUCAUGUUCUCAUGCUGAGUGCAAUCCCUCCGUGACUUCCUGUUAAGAUUUUUGAAGGGGAAGAAGCAGGGAGGAGGAGCAGCACAGUCCCUUUCCCGAUAGUUGCUGAAGGUUUUGUCAGUGAUGUUGUCGUAGAUUAUCCAGUACUGGACUAGUCUGUGGUUCUGUCUUUUGAACUCACGGAAAUUGUUAUAAGUCAAGGUGCAUAAGUUUUAUGUGUUAUUCUACUUAAGUAGGACAUUCCAAGAGUAUAAAAAUUUGAAGUUUGGUGAAGCCAUAUCAGAAAUGUUGUUUUAUUUAUUUACUAUGAGAAAAAGCAAUAGCAUAUGGACAUCACUUCCCAGUUGGAAUUCUGGAGACUCUGUCAUAAAGCAGUGGUUCUCAGAGUGUCAUGCCUAGACCCCCUGGAAACUUGUCAGGAACUCUGGGGGCGGGGCAAGCAAUCGUAGUUUAAACAGCUUCCCCCAUCUUCUCCCCCGCCACCCCCGACAUUCUGAUUCUUGCUAAAGUUUGAGAACCACUGUUUAAAGGAUAUUUUUUUUAAAUAGCAUUUUAAUUGUAUUGAAGUGACUGCUGUUACAGGUGAUGCCUUUGCAAGUGUUCUGAAGUUUAGGUGUCACCAAACAUGUCUAAAUAAUUAUAUGAUUUAUUUACAUUUUGAAGGCAUCUAUGAACAUGAUAUAAAACAGUCUUCAGAAUUACAGAUUUUCAUCUUGUUCUGAAAACCAUUCAUUGUAGUAAGUACUUAUGAGAUACGUUCUAUUUGCCUAUAAGAAUUCCUCAACCAGGGCUUCCCACGUGGCUCAGUGGUAAAGAAUCCACCUGCCAAUGCAGGAGACACAGGUUCCAUCCCUGAUUCUGGAAGAUCCCACACUCUGUGGAACAGCUAUGCCCGUGUACCACAGCUGCUGAGCCCGUACUCUAGAGCUUGGCAGCUGCAGCUGUUGAGCUCAUGUGCCCUAGAGCCCGUGCUCUGCAACUAGAGAAGAGCUUGCACGCGACGAAGACCUACUGCAACCAGAAACAAAUUUUUUUUUUUUUUGGAAAUAAGUUUCUCAACCAAACCAAGGCAUAUCUCAGUGGGUGGGCACAUAGGCACUGCUCCUAGGUACCUGUAUGACUCGUGCAGUGCUGGGUAUCUAGCCCAGGGUGAAUGCCCGAUAACUAGUUAAGUCUCUCAAGGCAAUCUCGGGAUGCCCAGCUGGUACAAAAGUCAUUGGAGUUUGUAAAGUUACAGUAUGUGUUCAAGAAGGAAAUGAUCGAAUCUGCCAAAUGUCCAGAUUUUUUUUUGUCUCAAUAAGCGUUAAGAACAAAACACAUCUAAAACAUAAUUAUGAAAAUACUUAAUCAGUAAACAUUUCAAGGAUUACAACUUUCCUUUCAAUUUGCUUGGGGCUGGUGCAUGGGGAUGACCCAGAGAGAUGUUGU